GGUUNCNCUUNACUAUCGGGCGGCCAAACACAUGCAAGCCGAGCGGUAUUUGUCUUUCGGGACAGAGAGAGCGGCGUACGGGUGCGGAACACGUGUGCAACCUACCUUUAUCAGGGGGAUAGCCUUUCGAAAGGAAGAUUAAUACCCCAUAAUAUAUUGAUUGGCAUCAGUUAAUAUUGAAAACUCCGGUGGAUAGAGAUGGGCACGCGCAAGAUUAGAUAGUUGGUAGGGUAACGGCUUACCAAGUCAGUGAUCUUUAGGGGGCCUGAGAGGGUGAUCCCCCACACUGGUACUGAGACACGGACCAGACUCCUACGGGAGGCAGCAGUGAGGAAUAUUGGACAAUGGGUGAGANCCUGAUCCAGCCAUCCCGCGUGAAGGACGACGGCCCUAUGGGUUGUUAAACUUCUUUUGUUUANGGAUAANCUUUCCNCNUNUGNAAACUGAAGUUCUAUACNAAUAANCCCNGNUACUCCUUCCACACCNCGGUNUACGAGGUUCACCUUUCCG
This 510-nucleotide ribosomal RNA is filed under the name uncultured Bacteroidota bacterium. RNAcentral's name for it is "uncultured Bacteroidetes bacterium partial 16S ribosomal RNA". It matches the Rfam family "Bacterial small subunit ribosomal RNA", at positions 36 to 530 of the family's 1533-position model. The record is from RNAcentral. Lineage: Bacteria; Pseudomonadati; Bacteroidota.